RNAcentral lists this ribosomal RNA (403 nucleotides) under Aphistogoniulus cowani. Its description in RNAcentral is "partial 16S ribosomal RNA". It matches the Rfam family "Bacterial large subunit ribosomal RNA", at positions 1858 to 2531 of the family's 2925-position model. The record is from RNAcentral. Lineage: Eukaryota; Metazoa; Arthropoda; Diplopoda; Spirobolida; Pachybolidae.
CCUGCCCACUGAGUAUUAAUUGAAGGGSUGCAGUAUAUUGACUGKACAAAGGUAGCAUAAUCAUUAGUCUUUUAAUUGAAGACUGGAAKGAAAGGUCUAACAAGUUUUAGCUGUCUCUAAAGUAUUUUAUUAACUUAUUUUUUUUGUGAAAAAACAAAAAUGAAAUAAAGGGACAAGAAGACCCUAUCAAACYUAUUUUAUUUUAUAUAUUAUUUAANNNNNNNNNAAUGUAUUAGUUAAAAUUUACUGGGGCGGUAGGUAUAGAACAUUAUUUAUAUAUAAUAUCUUUAAUGGCUUAAUAUAAGGAUCCAAAAUUGAUUGAUAAUGAGAAAAAGUUACUGUAGGGAUAACAGCGUAAUAUUUUUUGAGAGUUCAUAUGACAAAAAUGUUUGCGACCUCGAUG